GUCAUAGCUCGGUGCUAGCAGAGCAUCUGCUUUGCAUGCAGAAGCUUCUAGGUUCAGUCCCUGGCAUCUCCA
Non-coding RNA from Podarcis lilfordi (Lilford's wall lizard), 72 nucleotides. NCBI's taxonomy places the organism in Eukaryota, Metazoa, Chordata, Lepidosauria, Squamata, Lacertidae. The record is from the annotation of a GenBank genome assembly.